RNAcentral lists this unclassified non-coding RNA (292 nucleotides) under plant metagenome. RNAcentral's name for it is "partial contains small subunit ribosomal RNA, internal transcribed spacer 1, and 5.8S ribosomal RNA". The record is from RNAcentral.
UUUCCGUAGGUGAACCUGCGGAAGGAUCAUUAUUGAAUAAACCUGAUGUGGUUGUAGCUGGCCCUUUCGGGAGCAUGUGCACACCCGUCGUCUUUAUCUUUCCACCUGUGCACCUUUUGUAGACCUGGAUGUAACACUUUCCGAGGCAACUCGGUCGGGAGGAAUGCCGUCAGCUUUCCUUGAAUGUCCAGGCCUAUGUUUUCAUAUACCCCAAAGAAUGUAACAGAAUGUAUUAUUGGGCCUUGUGCCUAUAAACUAUAUACAACUUUCAGCAACGGAUCUCUUGGCUCUC